GCCUCCUCCUCCUCCUCCUCCUCCUCCUAAUGUACUGCAGCAGCAGCAGGAGGAGGAGGAGGAGGAGGAGGAGGG
This 75-nucleotide microRNA precursor is filed under the name Xyrichtys novacula (pearly razorfish). The record is from RNAcentral. Lineage: Eukaryota; Metazoa; Chordata; Actinopteri; Labriformes; Labridae.